CGGGAAAAGCUCAAAUUUAAAAUCUGGCGGUCUCUGGCCGUCCGAGUUGUAAUCUAGAGAAGUAAUGCCCGUGCUGGACCGUGUAUAAGUCUCCUGGGAUGGGGCGUCAUAGAGGGUGAGAAUCCCGUCUUUGACACGGACUACCAGUGCAUUGUGGUAUGCUCUCAAA
This 169-nucleotide ribosomal RNA is filed under the name Agaricus sp. RNAcentral describes it as "partial large subunit ribosomal RNA". It matches the Rfam family "Eukaryotic large subunit ribosomal RNA", at positions 99 to 261 of the family's 3401-position model. Lineage: Eukaryota; Fungi; Basidiomycota; Agaricomycetes; Agaricales; Agaricaceae. The record is from RNAcentral.